Molecule: ribosomal RNA, 253 nt
Filed under: uncultured bacterium
Lineage: Bacteria
Description: partial 16S ribosomal RNA
Rfam family: Bacterial small subunit ribosomal RNA
Source: RNAcentral
UACAGAGGUCUCAAGCGUUGUUCGGAUUCAUUGGGCGUAAAGGGUGCGUAGGCGGCGCGGUAAGUCGGGUGUGAAAUCUCUGGGCUCAACCCAGAGUCUGCUUCCGAAACUGCUGUGCUUGAGUGUGGGAGAGGCGCGUGGAAUUGCAGGUGUAGCGGUGAAAUGCGUAGAUAUCUGCAGGAACACCCGUGGCGAAAGCGGCGCGCUGGACCACUACUGACGCUGAGGAACGAAAGCUAGGGGAGCAAACAGG